CCUCAGGCAAAGGUUUCUGGGUAAGCACAGGUUAUACUUCCACAGAAAGCAUAUCUCACGGCACGCUACGGCCGUCGUCAGCAGGUAUUUACAGGAAUGUUCUAGAACAUACGCGUGUCAAAUACUCCAUUCAAGCAGAUUGAACACACCAGGGAACCCCAUGGAGCUCUCCCGAGCUUGGCCCCGUGCGGACUUACGCUCCAGCCUCUCCUCUCGGGCUUGGAGGGCCCGCUCGCGCUCCUGCAGCUGAAGCUCCUUCAGUCUGAGCUCUCCCAAGACCGGGCUGGAGUCCUGGCGCUUCUCUGGCUCUAAUCGGCGCCCUCUUCUCUCGAGAUUUCUUCUUUGCUCUUCUGCAACCAGAUCUGCUAUCAGAGGAUUCUCAAGAAUUUCUUCAACAGAAGGAGUACAAGGUCUGUGCUGUCCAUCUACCUUAAUUUUAACCCAAGGUAUGAGUCUUUUGGACUGGAAUACACAUGGAUGCGCAAAAAGCUGAAUGUAGUGAAAGGUGACAAGCCUCUGUGACUAUGAACUUCACACCAGAAAUCUGUCUUCAUCAUACUUACAUUAACGCACACAAUUCAUACAGCAAACAACCUAGUGACCAGAUAUCCGAUUUCUCAUUGUAGGACAUGCGACUCAUUUGUUCCUAAAGGGGAAGGAGAGGGUAAAACUGUAGGAGGUAAAAAUUUGUUUUAAAACUUACAAAAUGACCUGAGAUAAAAAUGGAAUCUCUAAGUUUGAUUAUAUUGACUUGGAGAAAAAAAAAAAAAAAAGAAAGAAAAAAUUUUAUAUUAUAUUUUAU
Mustela lutreola (European mink) is the source of this 802-nucleotide long non-coding RNA. RefSeq lists it as uncharacterized. The transcript is spliced from 3 exons. Lineage: Eukaryota; Metazoa; Chordata; Mammalia; Carnivora; Mustelidae. The record is from RefSeq and is a predicted model, not a curated record.